Molecule: long non-coding RNA, 503 nt
Organism: Osmia bicornis bicornis
Lineage: Eukaryota; Metazoa; Arthropoda; Insecta; Hymenoptera; Megachilidae
Exons: 2
Source: RefSeq, a predicted model, not a curated record
AAAUACAAGGUAAUCAUACUCUCCUACCACAAUGUUGCGGCUGCAAACACUUGGAGAUAAACAUCAGUUUAAGAUAUUAUAACUCACUUGUGUAAUCAAGAAAACGAUUACUGAUAAGAAAUAAAAAUAUCAUUUUAACGAUUUAUCAUGUAUACUACUAUCUAGCAAUUACGUGAUUCAUACAGUCUGAUUAACUAAUUUAAUAUACUUACAAUGUUAGUAAUCAAUUUUAAUGAUAAAAAUAAAGAUCAAAUAGAUGAUAGGAAAUAGAUGGAAUUAUAUGUACAGCAGUGAAUAUUACAAAUAGUAUUUCAUAAUUGUUUGUAUUUCCAAGAUCCGGUUUAUCAAAAUAUUAAACUUAUAACUUCAAUCAAGUUAUUUUGAACAUAUACAUGUAUGUACAUAUGUAUUUUAAUCAAACAGACCGAAUCCCAUAUCCUCAUCUUCUGAUUCAGAUUCUUCUUUCUUUUCUUCCUUCUUUUCUGCAGCUGGUGCUUCUGCGG